ACAAACACCUUGGAUGUUCUU
Molecule: microRNA, 21 nt
Filed under: Arabidopsis thaliana (thale cress)
Lineage: Eukaryota; Viridiplantae; Streptophyta; Magnoliopsida; Brassicales; Brassicaceae
Description: ath-miR782
Gene: ath-miR782
Source: miRBase by way of RNAcentral